This is a long non-coding RNA of Drosophila yakuba, 1284 nucleotides long. RefSeq lists it as uncharacterized. The record is from RefSeq and is a predicted model, not a curated record. NCBI's taxonomy places the organism in Eukaryota, Metazoa, Arthropoda, Insecta, Diptera, Drosophilidae. The transcript has 2 exons.
GGCUGCGCGGUGAAAAAUUUAAUUUUUGUAGAUGGUUCAGUGGAACCAGUCUCAACCAGUUCACUCCACCACCUCAACAAUAAAAACAAAAAAGGGAAAAAAUAAAAAAUACUAAACUAACUUCUCUGAAUAACACUCAACGAAACUGGUAUAUGUUUUAUUUCAGUUUUCACCUUUCGAUUCUAUGCCAGCUACAUAUGUAUGUAUUAGAUGAAGUGAACCGAACUGGCCCACUGUGACUUACAUAUAUGUAUAUUGCCUGUUAUAAAAGAAACUUUUGGAGAAAUUUACAAAUACAAAUAGCUUUAAAAGGGGAAACGCCCUUUAGAGGCUUUGCAAAAUCUUUUUUUUUUUUUUUAAUCGAUAUUGCCUCAGAAUAUCAUGUCAGGUUUAAACGCUAAUUCUCGAAAUUCUGAAGGUGAUGCCUUCCGGAAGUUACUGGCGCCGAGCUAGCCCCUCCUUGACGCAAAUUGUAAACACCAUUUUCUCAAAACCAUGUUUUUUAAAAUUGUGGUAUUGAUAAUAACAAAACUACAAAACUGAUUUUCAUCAUCUAUCAGUCUUUUUUAAGAGCAUAAAAAAUGAGCUGGAUAAUAAGGGAAGUGACGUUAUUGCGGUGCGAAAAGGAAAUAAAUUUUGUUUUAAAAGUGGUAAAACUUUUACCGAAACUUUUCAAUUGGUGAAACAAGUUUAUUCCGAUGAUUGCCUAUCCCGUAGCAGAGUGCACGAGUGAUUUCAACGUUUUCAAAGUGGACGUGAGGACGUGAAUGACGAUGUAAUCGCGCCUGGAGAAGUCAAAAGUGAAAACAAUGCUGAUUUGUUUUUAUGAUUCCACGGGUAUUGUCCACAAAGAAUUUGUUCCACCCGGCCAAAACAGUAAUGCAAUAUUCUUGAACCUUGAAGUUUUGAAGCGUGCGCCGUAUUCGACGUGUCCGAAUAUCGUAAAUAUGGAAGUUGGCGUCUGUUGCACAAUAAUGCGCCGUCUCAUCGAUCGACGCCUGUGGCCGAUUAUUUGACCAAAAAUCACAUUUUAACUAUCAACCACUCCCCGUACUCACCUGAUAUGGCACCAAGCGACUUAUACCUUUUCGGAAAAAUGCAUUUGCCGAUGAAAAGAAAACGUUAUGGUGACGUAGACACCAUUCAAAAGGCUUGCAUAUUGGCGGUCAUACCGGGCAAAGAGCUGAAACACUCGGUCGACUGCUUUUGGCCGUGCAAAAAGCUGUAUUAAAGCAGAGAGAGACUAUUUUAAAUGAAAUAAAUUGAUUUUGCCAAUUAAAACCA